CCAAGGAGUCUAACAUGUGCGCGAGUCUCGGUGCUUCAAAACACCAAGGCGCAGUGAAAGCGAAGGCUUGCCUUUGCGCUCGCUGAGGGGAGAUCCGUCGUCGGCCCAGCGCCGCGGCGGCGCAUCCCCGGGGCGUCUGCGAAGGCGUCGGCUUGCCGGCGUCCGGGCAGGCGCACCUAGAGCGCACAUGUUGGGACCCGAAAGAUGGUGACCUAUGCCCGGCCAGGACGAAGCCAGGGGAAACUCUGGUGGAGGUCCGCAGCGAUUCUGACGUGCAAAUCGAUCGUCUGAGCCGGGUAUAGGGGCGAAAGACUAAUCGAACCAUCUAGUAGCUGGUUCCGGCCGAAGUUUCCCUCAGGAUAGCUGGCGCUCGCUCGUCAAGGAGUCUCAUCCGGUAAAGCGACUGAUUGGAGGCUUUGGGGUCGCAAUGACCUCGACCUACUCUCAAACUUUAAAUGGGUGAGAAGCAGAGCCUUCCUAAACGGUCGAGGCUCUGCGCCUUCUUGUCGGGAUCCACGAGUGUCUAGUGGGCCAUUUUUGGUAAGCAGAACUGGCGCUGUGGGAUGAACCAAACGCCCGGUUAAGGUGCCCGACUUGACGCGCAUGAGACACCAUUAAAGGCGUCGGUGGCUGAAGACAGCAGGACGGUGGCCAUGGAAGUCGGCA
RNAcentral lists this ribosomal RNA (666 nucleotides) under Kenyentulus ciliciocalyci. RNAcentral describes it as "eukaryotic LSU rRNA". It matches the Rfam family "Eukaryotic large subunit ribosomal RNA", at positions 666 to 1266 of the family's 3401-position model. Lineage: Eukaryota; Metazoa; Arthropoda; Protura; Acerentomata; Acerentomidae. The record is from RNAcentral.